UAUACUAAGACUAACAUUUCUCCUAAUAUUACAGUGUGCAGAGCUUGGAAUACCACACGGAGGGGGGUGAAGGAGCCUUGGGAAUCCCUGAAGGAGGGAGAGCGAAGGAGGGAGGCUUGGAGGUGAAGGAAAUGCAGAAAAUUCCUCUAAUAUUGAACGCUUCUCUGCUCAGACCAUCCUUCAUUGAAUAUUUGAGCUGAGGCUUCGAGAUACGAGUGUGCAGAGCUUGGGAUACCACACGGAGGGGGGUGAAGGAGCCUUGGGGAUGCCUGAAGGAGGGAGGCUUGGAGGUGAAGAAAAUGGAAAAAAAUUCCUCUAAUACUGAAUGCUUCUCUGCUCAGACCUUCCUUCAUUGAAUAUUUGAGCUGAGGCUUCGAGAUACGAGGGUGCAGAGCUUGGGAUACCACACGGAGGGGGUGAAGGAGCCUUGGGGAUGCCUGAAGUAGGGGCAGUGAAGGAGGGAGGCCUGGAGGUGAAGGAAAUGCAGAAAAUUCCUUGAAUACUGAGCGCUUCUCUGGUUAGACUUCACUGAAUAUUUCGACUGAGGCUUCGAGAUACGAGAUGAGAAUUCGUUUUUUAGUGUUUGAAGGCAGUUUUAUGUGGUUAUAGGUGUUUUUAGGUUGCUUUAAUGUUGUUUUGAGUAUUUUAGGUUUGUUGAAGGAAGGAGAAAGCUUAAAUAUAGUUAUAACGCCGAAAAAAAAGGCUUAAAUUGAGAGUUUUAAAGUCAGCCUAGCGUUUAUUAAAGUGUUUUAAGUAUUUUAAGUUACCAGAAGAGAGGAAGCUUAAAUUUAAUAUUACGAUAAGGAAAAAGCUUAUUUCAUGCGUUAGGAAGAAAGAAAAGGUUAACAUUAUUGACACUUUAUCAAUUUCUUUCGAUUUUAUAUUCAGUUUAUUUAUUGAUCGUUAUCUUUUAAUUUCAUUUCUUUAUUUUCUUUAUUUUUCGCUCGUUUUCAUAAUAGGAGUG
Scylla paramamosain (green mud crab) is the source of this 964-nucleotide long non-coding RNA. RefSeq lists it as uncharacterized. The transcript is spliced from 3 exons. The record is from RefSeq and is a predicted model, not a curated record. NCBI's taxonomy places the organism in Eukaryota, Metazoa, Arthropoda, Malacostraca, Decapoda, Portunidae.